Etheostoma spectabile (orangethroat darter) is the source of this 113-nucleotide long non-coding RNA. RefSeq lists it as uncharacterized. Lineage: Eukaryota; Metazoa; Chordata; Actinopteri; Perciformes; Percidae. The record is from RefSeq and is a predicted model, not a curated record. The transcript has 3 exons.
GGUCCACCGAUUCUAUAUGCAAGUUUUCGUGCAGAUCGGACUCACAUCCCAAGAGUAGUUAGACAAAGCAGGUUUACCAUUUAUUGCGAUGUGGCUAAUUAAUAAAAAAGUUG